Molecule: ribosomal RNA, 472 nt
Filed under: uncultured bacterium
Lineage: Bacteria
Description: bacterial SSU rRNA
Rfam family: Bacterial small subunit ribosomal RNA
Source: RNAcentral
GAUGAACGCUGGCGGCGUGCUUAACACAUGCAAGUCGAACGAAGCACUUUAUUUGAUUUCCUUCGGGACUGAUUAUUUUGUGACUGAGUGGCGGACGGGUGAGUAACGCGUGGGUAACCUGCCUUGUACAGGGGGAUAACAGUUGGAAACGGCUGCUAAUACCGCAUAAGCGCACGGCAUCGCAUGAUGCAGUGUGAAAAACUCCGGUGGUAUAAGAUGGACCCGCGUUGGAUUAGCUAGUUGGUGAGGUAACGGCCCACCAAGGCGACGAUCCAUAGCCGACCUGAGGGGGUGACCGGCCACAUUGGGACUGAGACACGGCCCAAACUCCUACGGGAGGCAGCAGUGGGGAAUAUUGCACAAUGGGCGAAAGCCUGAUGCAGCGACGCCGCGUGAGCGAAGAAGUAUUUCGGUAUGUAAAGCUCUAUCAGCAGGGAAGAUAAUGACGGUACCUGACUAAGAAGCACCGGCU